AAGCGGAGGAAAAGAAACCAACAGGGAUUGCCCUAGUAACGGCGAGUGAAGCGGCAACAGCUCAAAUUUGAAAUCUGGCCUCGGCCCGAGUUGUAAUUUGCAGAGGAUGUUUCUGGCGCGGUGCCUUCCGAGUUCCCUGGAACGGGACGCCACAGAGGGUGAGAGCCCCGUAUGGUUGGACACUAAGCCUGUGUGAAACUCCUUCGACGAGUCGAGUAGUUUGGGAAUGCUGCUCAAAAUGGGAGGUAAAUCUCUUCUAAAGCUAAAUACCGGCCAGAGACCGAUAGCGCACAAGUAGAGUGAUCGAAAGAUGAAAAGCACCUUGAAAAGGGGGUUAAACAGUACGUGAAAUUGUUGAAAGGGAAGCGCUUGUGACCAGACUUGCGCCGGGCGGCUCAUCCGGGGUUCUCCCCGGUGCACUCCGCCCGGCUCAGGCCAGCAUCGGUUCUCGUUGGGGGAUAAGAACGGCAGGAACGUGGCCCUCCUUCGGGUGGGUGUUAUAGCCUGCCGUACGAUACCCUGACGGGGACCGAGGUUCGCGCUCCGCAAGGAUGCUGGCGUAAUGGUCAUCAGCGACCCGUCUUGAAACACGGACCAAGGAGUCGUCCAUUAGAGCGAGCGUUUGGGUGUCAAACCCGCACGCGUAAUGAAAGUGAAAUUAGGUGAGAGCUUCGGCGCAUCAUCGACCGAUCCUGAUGUUCUCGGAUGGAUUUGAGUAAGAGUUUUAACGGACGGACCCGAAAGACAGUGAACUAUGCUUGUAUAGGGUGAAGCCAGAGGAAACUCUGGUGGAGGCUCGCAGCGGUUCUGACGUGCAAAUCGAUCGUCAAAUAUGAGCAUGGGGGCGAAAGACUAAUCGAA
This 861-nucleotide ribosomal RNA is filed under the name Chrysoporthe cubensis. Its description in RNAcentral is "LSU rRNA". It matches the Rfam family "Eukaryotic large subunit ribosomal RNA", at positions 48 to 939 of the family's 3401-position model. RNAcentral also lists the same sequence under 2 other names. Lineage: Eukaryota; Fungi; Ascomycota; Sordariomycetes; Diaporthales; Cryphonectriaceae. The record is from RNAcentral.